Mauremys reevesii (Reeves's turtle) is the source of this 562-nucleotide long non-coding RNA. RefSeq lists it as uncharacterized. The record is from RefSeq and is a predicted model, not a curated record. The transcript has 3 exons. Lineage: Eukaryota; Metazoa; Chordata; Testudines; Geoemydidae.
GGAAUUCAGUGCUGGUAACAGACACGUCAUUGGGAUAAAGAACAGUUACUGCACAGCAGACGGGCAGGCUUCUCCAUGCCAGCCCAAUGUGGAGGAAAUGCCCAUGAGUAGGAAGCCAAAUGCACACUCUUGGAUUGCACAGGCUAUGCCACGUGAGGGCUAUAAAUAGCCGAGCGCAGCAGCUCAGCUCCUCAGUGCUCCGAGCUUCCAGUGUCAAACCCAACUGCUCCCUGAAGACAAGCAAGGCAGACGGAGGGGCGGUCUCUGAAGGGGCAAACUCAGGAGGCCUCAGGCUACAGCAAACAGGUCUACAGAUGCCAGUCUAGAGCCCAACAGAAGCAAGAUGUCUAAAAUCUUCUGUCCGAAGAGGACCGCCUCUCUCCAGUUGGAAGUCUGAUUGCCCACCGUUCGUAUGGAAGACGUGCAGCACAACAGGAACCUAUUAGCUCAAAUUCAAUGCAGUGUACUCAUGGUUCAGGUGUGCAGAUAAACUUUGGUCAGCACACAUCAGAAAGUCACUAGUGAGGACUUUGCCCUAUGGCUAGUGAAUUUAGCAUGGCAU